RNAcentral lists this long non-coding RNA (233 nucleotides) under Vigna radiata. RNAcentral describes it as "long non-coding RNA (VRAD_LNC012989)". Lineage: Eukaryota; Viridiplantae; Streptophyta; Magnoliopsida; Fabales; Fabaceae. The record is from RNAcentral.
GUGAAAUCUCCUUGCUGUAGAAUAUGUGAAUAAGGAGAAGUAACUUGGGUGCUGCAAUGACCUUCAGUGGGUUGAGGGAAAGAGAAAGAAAGGAAUACUGUAAAUAAAAAGUUUUGGACUUUAGCAUACUUAGGAUAAAUCCAAUUUCUGAUGCCACAUCACCAAUGCUUCUUUUAAUCAAAACAGGUCACGUUUAAAAAAACACAUUACCACAUUAUUAACGUAACACGUGG